GUGGGGAAUAUUGCGCAAUGGGGGAAACCCUGACGCAGCGACGCCGUGUGAGGGAAGAAGGCUUUCGGGUCGUAAACCUCUGUCAGAAAGGAAGAACCUCCCAAGUCCGAAUAGGGCUUGGGACUGACGGUACUUUCAAAGGAAGCACCGGCUAACUCCGUGCCAGCAGCCGCGGUAAUACGGAGGGUGCAAGCGUUAAUCGGAAUCACUGGGCGUAAAGCGCGCGUAGGCCGCUUUGUAAGUCGGACGUGAAAGCCCUCGGCUCAACCGGGGAACGGCGUGCGAUACUGCGAGGCUUGAGUCCUGGAGAGGGUGGCGGAAGUCCGGGUGUAGGAGUGAAAUCCGUAGAUAUCCGGAGGAACACAGGUGGCGAAGGCGGCCACCUGGACAGGUACUGACGCUGAGGCGCGAAAGCGUGGGGAGCAAACAGGAUUAGAAACCCGGGUAGUCC
RNAcentral lists this ribosomal RNA (451 nucleotides) under uncultured bacterium. RNAcentral's name for it is "partial 16S ribosomal RNA". It matches the Rfam family "Bacterial small subunit ribosomal RNA", at positions 354 to 796 of the family's 1533-position model. The record is from RNAcentral.